AAUCAACGCUGGCGGCGUGCCUCAGACAUGCAAGUCGAACGAUUAAGACUCCCUUCGGGGAGUGCAUAAAGUGGCGCACGGGUGAGUAACACGUAAGUAAUCUGCCCUCGAGUGGGGAAUAACACCGGGAAACCGGUGCUAAUACCGCAUAAUGCAGCGGCACCGCAAGGUGACAGUUGUUAAAGGAGCAAUCCGCUUGAGGAGGAGCUUGCGGCAGAUUAGCUAGUUGGUAAGGUAAUGGCUUACCAAGGCUACGAUCUGUAACCGGUCUAAGAGGACGGUCGGUCACACUGACACUGAAUAACGGGUCAGACUCCUACGGGAGGCAGCAGUCGGGAAUUUUGGGCAAUGGGCGAAAGCCUGACCCAGCAACGCCGCGUGAAGGAUGAAGUAUUUCGGUAUGUAAACUUCGAAAGAAUGGGAAGAAUAAAUGACGGUACCAUUUAUAAGGUCCGGCUAACUACGUGCCAGCAGCCGCGGUAAUACGUAGGGACCAAGCGUUGUUCGGAUUUACU
Molecule: ribosomal RNA, 515 nt
Filed under: uncultured bacterium
Lineage: Bacteria
Description: bacterial SSU rRNA
Rfam family: Bacterial small subunit ribosomal RNA
Source: RNAcentral